RNAcentral lists this ribosomal RNA (253 nucleotides) under uncultured bacterium. RNAcentral's name for it is "partial 16S ribosomal RNA". It matches the Rfam family "Bacterial small subunit ribosomal RNA", at positions 524 to 776 of the family's 1533-position model. The record is from RNAcentral.
UACGUAGGGUGCAAGCGUUGUCCGGAAUUAUUGGGCGUAAAGAGCUCGUAGGCGGUCUGUCGCGUCGGCUGUGAAAUCCCGGAGCUCAACUCCGGGUCUGCAGUCGAUACGGGCAAACUGGAGUACUGCAGGGGAGACUGGAAUUCCUGGUGUAGCGGUGAAAUGCGCAGAUAUCGGGAAGAACACCCGUGGCGAAGGCGGCUCACUGGCCCGGUACUGACGCUGAGGUGCGAAAGCGUGGGGAGCAAACAGG